AUGUUGAUCACCACUGCCCAGCUGAUGUACAAGCUUGGAGGUAUUGACAAGCCUGUGAUCAAGAGGAUUGAGAAGGAAGCCGCUGAGAUGAACAAGAGGUCAUUCAAGUACACUUGUGUGCUUGACAACCUGAAGGCUAAGUGUGAGAGGGGUAUCACUAUUGAAAUUGCCCUGUGGGAGUUCAAGACCACCAAGUACCACUGCAUGGUCAUCGACGUCCCUAGACACUCAUUUAUCAAGAACACGAUUACUGGUACGUCCUAGGCCGACUGUGAUGUGCGCAUCAUCAACUCCACUACUGCUGGUUCUGAGGUCGGUACCUCCAUGGCUAACUACUCCCAUGAGCAUGCCCUCCUCGCUUUCAAUCUUGGAGUUAAGCAAACCAUCUGUUGUUCCAAUAAGGUAUGA
Molecule: ribosomal RNA, 408 nt
Filed under: Triticum aestivum (bread wheat)
Lineage: Eukaryota; Viridiplantae; Streptophyta; Magnoliopsida; Poales; Poaceae
Description: partial small subunit ribosomal RNA
Source: RNAcentral